GGGCCACGCAUUGUGCUGAGCUGUCUUCGAGGACAACAGACGUUAGACUUACACCGUCGUAAGGAACAGGUUCCCGCCAAGGAAAAGUUUCUUUGUUCUGAAACCAUGUAGAACUUGAAAGGUACAUCAGAAAUCCUCUAUCCGUUCCAAUCUUCGUCUGGUGCUGAUACUGACGGAACCAAGUACAUGUAGAUGGGAAAUCUGAAUCAUGCAACGAAUUGUAGAAAGACAUCAUCCUUAUGCAACUCGGGUCUUCAAGUGGGAGACUGGUUGCUGUACAAGUAGCUCCGUGAAACGGUGGAAGAUACAGGAGACAGAUACACAUGAAUCAUCAUCAUCAUCAUCAUCAUCAUCAUCAUCAUCAUCAUCAUCAGUUUCAACACCAUAGUUCAGCGACUUACUUUAUCUUAUAAAAGGAACCGUAAAUCAAAACAAACGCCAAAUCUUCAAGAUUCUCCAGCAUGUUCGAGGCUCUAUCAUUCAGAAUUAGAUUCUACUGCAGUACAUCAGUAUUCCAGCUUGUCGGAUGUAAUAAAAGACCAGAAGGGAUAACGGAGGACAGUCAUUGGACCUCCAAACGCUAUCGUGUUUUGUUGAAUAUAUUUUUUUUCUAAAUUGGAGUCGCCUAAAUUCUGUUUGCUUGAUACUUGGACAUAACAUACACUCGUCCUUGGAAAAAACUUCUUUGAACUUAUUAAACUAAUCAGACUUUAGUGUAAAUUUAUUGUCAGUGUCCCUUAAAUUCUGACUACUGGACUUUAACAUUUUUCUAAAAAACAUGUAUCAAAUAUAAUUAUUUUGAUUUUUAUAAAUAA
This is a long non-coding RNA of Magallana angulata, 815 nucleotides long. RefSeq lists it as uncharacterized. Lineage: Eukaryota; Metazoa; Mollusca; Bivalvia; Ostreida; Ostreidae. The transcript is spliced from 4 exons. The record is from RefSeq and is a predicted model, not a curated record.